GCAUCGUCCUCCAUGCAUCCCGGCGUCCCUUUCGAUGCCCAUCCAACGGACAUGAAGACAUUCCCUUUGGGCACGCCGACACCUAACACGUCAUACCAGGACUCGCUAUCAAACUUCAAGGGGCUGCUGCGCUGCCACAACCAGCACCAGAAAUUCAGCUGGGACGGUGCCCUAAACUAGACACGUCAUCCCUGCAUGCAAGAAUGUGCGCUGGUCGGUCACCUGCAUUCCGUCCUUCUCAUAAUAAAAACUGAGUGGAGGAGCAUGGAUCCGUGG
RNAcentral lists this long non-coding RNA (276 nucleotides) under Physcomitrium patens. RNAcentral's name for it is "long non-coding RNA (PPAT_LNC013591)". The record is from RNAcentral. Lineage: Eukaryota; Viridiplantae; Streptophyta; Bryopsida; Funariales; Funariaceae.